AACGAACGCUGGCGGCAGGCCUAACACAUGCAAGUCGAGCGAGACCUUCGGGUCUAGCGGCGGACGUGUGAGUAACGCGUGGGAACGUGCCCUUUUCUACGGAAUACCCUCGGGAAACUGAGCGUAAUACCGUAUACGCCCUUUGGGGGAAAGAUUUAUGGGGGAAGGAUCGGCCCGCGUUGGAUUCGGUAGUUGGUGGGGUAAUGGCCUGCCAAGCCUACGAUCCAUAGCUGGUUUGAGAGGUUGAUCAACCACACUGGGACUGAGACACGGCCCAGACUCCUACGGGAGGGAGGAGUGGGGAAUAUUAGACAAUGGGGGCAACCCUGAUCAAGCCAUGCCGCGUGAGUGAGGAAGGCCUUAGGAUUGUAAAGCUCUUUCAGCUGGGAAGAUAAUGACGGUACCGGCAGAAGAAGCCCCGGCUAACUCCGUG
This 433-nucleotide ribosomal RNA is filed under the name uncultured bacterium. RNAcentral's name for it is "partial 16S ribosomal RNA". It matches the Rfam family "Bacterial small subunit ribosomal RNA", at positions 29 to 507 of the family's 1533-position model. The record is from RNAcentral.